AUCUAUGGCCAUGCCACCCUGAACAAGCCCAACCCUGUCUGAUCUCGGAAGCUAAGCAUGAUUGGGCCUGGUUAGUGCUUGGAUGGGAGACCACCUAGGAAGACCAGGUGCUGUAGGUG
Molecule: non-coding RNA, 119 nt
Organism: Pteropus alecto (black flying fox)
Lineage: Eukaryota; Metazoa; Chordata; Mammalia; Chiroptera; Pteropodidae
Source: Rfam